RNAcentral lists this unclassified non-coding RNA (2257 nucleotides) under Hevea brasiliensis (rubber tree). Lineage: Eukaryota; Viridiplantae; Streptophyta; Magnoliopsida; Malpighiales; Euphorbiaceae. The record is from RNAcentral.
UCUCUCUCUCUCACACACACACAGAGUACGAGUUCUCUAUAAAUUUUGUAUGGAAAUGGCAUUAUAGUAGUCCAUCUGGCAAGAAUUUCAAAUAUAGUCAUCACUUCUGACCAAAUAGCAUAUAAGGUGAUGUUUAGUCCUAUAUUGUGCCCUUGUUUCUAACUCUUUAUCUGAUGCAUCCAAUAUUAAUUGGUAUAUGUUCUUCUUUCUAAAUUCAACAGUGUUUGACCAAACUUCUUUUUGUUGUUUUUAGUCAACAAAGAGUAUUCACAGUUCAAGUAUUUGAGUUACAUAGGAUCAUGAAGGUAUGCUGGAUAUUGCUUGAUCGAGUUGCUAUGCCUUUUCUACUAUGAGAUAUGCAUAUGAUUUCUGGUCUUGAUUUCUUGUGUCCGUUGGUGAAAAGAGAACCUACUGGUUGAAUCUUGAUGUUGUCUUGGAAUAGGUACAAAAAUUGAUUGCUGGAUCAUCUGAUGUGUUUCUUGAAGAAAACAUUUGUCUUGGAAAAGCUCCAUUGAAGUCACCUCUGGAGAAGGUUCCAUCUGAGAAUGCUAUUGAACAACCUCCAUUGAUUGUUAAACCAAAAGAUGGUUCACACAAGCAAUAUGCUAGCGCUGAAUUUGCUGAUGAGAAUGCUGUUGGGAAGCUUCCUCUUCCUUCUAUCCAUAAUGAAACUGGUGAAGGACAUCUUACCCAGCAAUCAAAUUACAAUUGUCAUUCGGAAGGCGUGCUGCCAGCUCCUCUUGCUGCCAAUACCAGACCAUCUCCAUGGUAUUUCCCAUCACAUGGAAAUCAUUGGUUAUUUCCGGUCAUGUCCCCUUCUGAGGGUCUUGUUUACAAGCCUUACACAGGGCCAUGCCCUUCAGCUGCUGGAUUUGUGGCCCCCGUUUAUGGCAACUUUGGUCCUAUGAGUUUAACAGCUGGGGGUGGAGACUUUUUGAAUGCAGCCUAUGGUGUUCCGGCUUCUCAUCAACAAGGUAUUGGAAUCCUUACCAGCACCCCUCAUCUGGGACAGACAUACUUUCCACCAUAUGGCAUGCCAGUCAUGACUCUGUCCAUUUCAGGAUCAGCAGUUGAGCAGGUAAGCCCAUUCACUGGACCCCAAUCAAAGGAUAAUCAGCCAUCAGUUGGAGACAUUAACUUCAAUUUUCCCCACCAGAGCUCAUGUAACAUGUCAAGCCAGAUGAGUCGUGUGAUCUCACAUAUUGGGAAAUUUCGAGCAUCAAAGGAAAGUGAGUUACAGGGAAGCACAGCAAGUGGUCCCUCAGAGAGGCCUAAAGGAGAUGCACUUCCUCUUUUUCCUACAGAACCAACAGCUCAGGCUUCAGAUCAAAAUGCUCAAACUAUUGAGCCACGGACAAGUGUGGUAAGGGUUGUGCCUCACAAUCCUAGAUCGGCAACUGAAUCAGCAGCCCGGAUUUUGCGGUCCAUACAAGAAGAAAGAAAACAGUAUGAUUAGUUUAUGGAAAUUGUAUCCAGUGCAGUUGGAAGUGAUAAUGUUCUUAGUAGUCUCAUCAAAUAUACUUCUGUAUCUGUAAUUGCAUUAUACAUAUUAAUAGCAUGUAAAUACAUUUUGUUUAGUGAGAAUAGAUCAGUCCAUACUCCAGGAAGGUUGCCUUACAUCAGUUGCAUCCUUUGCCAUCCAAGAUUCAAGCACCUCAUGUAUACCCCAGUCCUGUAAUGUGAAUUCCAGUGCCUUACUGAAAAAGAAAUACUACAGUUGCACCUUAUCAUGGGACAUUAUUAUGCAUUGCUUUGCAAGAUCAUUUAACUGUGUCAUAACUUGUCAGAAUUGAGAUCGUUUGCUUUCAGUGAAACACGCAACCAGUCCCAUUCAUCAUCCGCCUUGAACUACAUACAAUCGAUAUAGGCUGGAGAGUGAAUCAUGGUAUCCCAGAAGAUAUUGGAUCGCCGGUUCUAAGAGAAGUUGCUUUUUUAAAAUGGCUGCAUGGAAAUUCAACUCCUACUCAUUCCCUUUCCGCGAAGGUGACAAAGGUCUCGGGGUACAGAACGGGUCAAACGACAAUAGUAAACAAAAGAGGACUUGUUCCGAAGAAGCUUAUAAUGCGGGAAAGCCUACAAGGUAUGAGCGAAAGAAAAUUUUCCCCGUGAUUACCAUUAUUGAAAAUUUUCCCCAUGAUUACCAGUAUUAGCUUGCUCUUGCCUUAAUGGAUGUGUUGGAUUUCCAUGACCGCUAGCACUAUUCCUUGUUUGGAAAUGACAGUUUUUAUUAUGUUUCCAUUUAACUGGAUUUGUUGGG